Long non-coding RNA from Lycium barbarum (goji berry), 971 nucleotides. RefSeq lists it as uncharacterized. NCBI's taxonomy places the organism in Eukaryota, Viridiplantae, Streptophyta, Magnoliopsida, Solanales, Solanaceae. The record is from RefSeq and is a predicted model, not a curated record. The transcript is spliced from 2 exons.
CCCCCUAACCCCUCUCUCUUCUUCCCCCUUUCCUUUCUCGGCUAACCCCAGCCACGCCGCCCCCAAAAUCUCCCCUCUCUUAUGCCAAGAACGGCAAAAACGCAGAGCUAGCAGGGAUUUCGGGGUUCUAUAAAUUGAACCCUAACUUUCAUCGCAACAACAAGGUGGGAGAAGCCAAAAGAAAAAAAAAAACUAGAAUUUAAGUCCAACCUGAAAUUUAAGCUUAAACUAUAAUUUUACACUUAAAACUCCUCCUUUCGAGUUUGACUCCCUCAGUUGGAAAAUUUUAUUUAUUUUUGUUCUUUUCUUGUGGUUGAGUUCAAGAGUUGGAUGCACAAAGGAGCUUUCGAGUCCCAUUCUUGACCAAGGCUGCGUUUAAAAAAGUAAUGUUGAGGAUUAUCUGGGGUUGGUCUAACCUUCCCCUAGUACCAGCCAUGUCUGGGGUUCGUUGAAACCCUUUGAAUCUUAUGUGACAUUGGGAAUAAGGAUGGUGACAACCACCCUAAUCUCAUUCCAAAAUACUCAGCCCACACAUCACAAAAAAUGCACUAUGGAAGAAAUAUCAUGUCAGGACAGUUUGGCCAUUUUUAUUAUUACCAUACGUGUAUACCUUCUAUAUAUUAUAUGAAAUUUUAUAGGAUCUAGUCUAAUCGAAUUAUUUUUUCUCUCUCCUUUCCCUCUCUUACUCUUCGCAUGGCCAUUUGGGCCAAGGACACAGCCUUCCUAUCAGGCCAAAGGCCCAAUAGGACAAUUCUUUCAGACCUCUAUCUAGUACGAGGAAGGGAAGCUAAUAUGUUUAUUCACGAAGGCCUAACCAUGGGUGAAAAUGGUUAAGGGGGCUUGGUACACCCCAAGUCAUUUUAUUACUAUUGCAUGAUUGUAUUUGUAUUUGUAAACUCACAUUACUAUUGGAAACCAAAUGGUUAGAAUUAGACGUUUUAGGCAAACGAUACUUAAACCGUUUAGUUGGA